RNAcentral lists this ribosomal RNA (1215 nucleotides) under Triticum aestivum (bread wheat). Its description in RNAcentral is "partial small subunit ribosomal RNA". The record is from RNAcentral. Lineage: Eukaryota; Viridiplantae; Streptophyta; Magnoliopsida; Poales; Poaceae.
AUGGCAGACAGCAGAGGAAGGAAUGUGUCUAUUGAUGCUUUGACUUCAAAGCUUGAAUCCAAGAUAUACUACCAUAGGGAUGCCACUGUCGAGUACCUGGAUAUCAAGACUAUGGUUGAUAAAGUUGUACAAGAAAAGAAUAAGCUCUUGGCUGAGAACACCGAAUUCCUGAAUACUAUUGAUAAGAUCGUGGAAGAAAAGGAAAAACUCCAGCAUGAUCAUGAUGUGAUUAAUGAGCUGGUGGCACCAAUGGCGGAGCAGCUUGAAAUGGUAAAGAAGGAGCUUGAAGAAGUAAAACAUGAGCAUGUGGCAGCAAAGGAGGAGCUUGCUGUGGCAAAAGAGCAACUUGCUCAGAAGAACAAAGAGCUGAAGGUUCUAAGGAAGAAGCUUCAGGAGAGUGAAGCCAUGCACACUCAACAUGAGCAACAAAUUGGAAGUGCUUCUAAGCCUGCUCGUUCCAAAAUGGUAACAAGAUUAUCACAUAAACGGGCUAUCCUGCUCCAAGGAUCAUCGGACAAUGACACAGACAGACAUCGUUGUAAAAAACAGAGGUCCUAUCCGCAGGUGCCAAAUAACCCAACCGCUGGCCAGCAUUCAGGCAGAGAUGACGAUCAGGAGGUUGUCAGACAAAAGCUGAUCAAGGGGUUCUCUGAAAUUGAUGCUGGACAGUCAAUUGGGAUAAAGAAAAUGGGGAAAUUAAAUGAGAAGCCAUUCCGGGAUGCUUGUGCUGUCAAGCUGGCUCCUAAAUAUGCUGGUGCGAAAUCUUCUGAACUGUACGCACUGUGGCAGGAACUACUCGAUAGUCCAAAUUGGAAACCCUUCAAGUCUGUUAUAGUUGAUGGCAAUCAUCAGGAGGAGGUCAUAGAUGUUGAUGAUGAUAAGUUGCAAGGACUGAAGAUGGCAUGGGGAGAAGGCCCCUACAAUGCUGUCGUUAGUGCAUUGGUUGAGAGGAAAGAGUACAACACUGAUGGAACAGGUGAUGCCUUCGAUCUAUGGAACUAUAAGGAAGGGAGGAAGGCCACUCUUGGGGAGUGUGUUGACUGUAUCUUGGACAAUGUAAAGAAACUCAAGCGGGUCCAUCUGACAUACAGGUCGAGGAGAACAAUGUGUACUGCCACUGCGAGCAUGCAUGACCCAGUGAAAGAUCUGUCGGCAGCAAGUAAUGAAUGGAGUCAUCAGAUGUCCAACACUAGCAAGCAUGGAGGGAAGUCAUGA